AGAUUGAACGCUGGCGGCAGGCCUAACACAUGCAAGUCGAGCGGUAGAGAGGUGCUUGCAUCUCUUGAGAGCGGCGGACGGGUGAGUAAUGCCUAGGAAUCUGCCUAGUGGCGGGGGAUAACGUUCGGAAACGGACGCUAAUACCGCAUACGUCCUACGGGAGAAAGCGGGGGACCUUCGGGCCUCGCGCCAUUAGAUGAGCCUAGGUCGGAUUAGCUAGUUGGUGAGGUAAUGGCUCACCAAGGCGACGAUCCGUAACUGGUCUGAGAGGAUGAUCAGUCACACUGGAACUGAGACACGGUCCAGACUCCGUACGGGA
RNAcentral lists this ribosomal RNA (319 nucleotides) under uncultured soil bacterium. RNAcentral's name for it is "bacterial SSU rRNA". It matches the Rfam family "Bacterial small subunit ribosomal RNA", at positions 26 to 346 of the family's 1533-position model. The record is from RNAcentral.